ACGCUGGCGGCACGCCUAAUACAUGCAAGUCGAACGAAGUAGCAAUACUUAGUGGCAGACGGGUGAGUAACAUGUAGGUAUCUUCCCUUUGGUGAGGAAUAACACGAGGAAACUUGUGCUAAUACCUCAUAAGUCUUUACGGAGAAAGCUUUAUGCGCCGAUGGAUGAGCCUGCACUUGAUUAGUUUGUUGGUAGGGUAAUGGCCUACCAAGACUAUGAUCAAUAGCUGAUUUGAGAGGAUGAUCAGCCACAUUGGGACUGAGACACGGCCCAAACUCCUACGGGAGGCAGCAGUAGGGAAUCUUGCACAAUGGGGGAAACCCUGAUGCAGCGAUGCCGCGUGAGUGAAGAAGGCCUUUGGGUUGUAAAGCUCUUUCGUCGGGGAAGAAAAUGACUGUACCCGAAUAAGAAGGUCCGGCUAACUUCGUGCCAGCAGCCGCGGUAAUACGAAGGGACCUAGCGUAGUUCGGAAUUACUGGGCUUAAAGAGUUCGUAGGUGGUUAAAAAAGUUGGUGGUGAAAUCCCAGAGCUUAACUCUGGAACUGCCAUCAAAACUUUUUAGCUAGAGUAUGAUAGAGGAAAGCAGAAUUUCUAGUGUAGAGGUGAAAUUCGUAGAUAUUAGAAAGAAUACCAAUUGCGAAGGCAGCUUUCUGGAUCAUUACUGACACUGAGGAACGAAAGCAUGGGUAGCGAAGAGGAUUAGAUACCCUCGUAGUCCAUGCCGUAAACGAUGUGUGUUAGACGUUGGAAAUUUAUUUUCUGUGUCGCAGCGAAAGCAAUAAACACACCGCCUGGGGAGUACGACCGCAAGGUUAAAACUCAAAUGAAUUGACGGGGACCCGCACAAGUAGUGGAGCAUGUGGUUUAAUUCGAAGAUACGCGCAGAACCUUACCAACACUUGACAUGUUCGUCGCGACUUUAAGAGAUUAAAGUUUUCGGUUCGGCCGGACGAAACACAGGUGCUGCAUGGCUGUCGUCAGCUCGUGUCGUGAGAUGUUGGGUUAAGUCCCGCAACGAGCGCAACCCUCACUUUUAGUUGCCAUCAUUUAGUUGGGCACUCUGAAAGAACUGCCAGUGAUAAGCUGGAGGAAGGUGGGGAUGACGUCAAGUCCUCAUGGCCCUUACGUGUUGGGCUACACACGUGCUGCAAUGGCAUUUACAAUAGGAAGCAAGACGGCGACGUUAAGCAAAUCCUAAAAAAAUGCCUCAGUUCGGAUUGUACUCUGCAACUCGAGUACAUGAAGCUGGAAUUACUAGUAAUCGCGGAUCAGCGCGCCGCGGUGAAUACGUUCCCGGGUCUUGUACACACCGCCCGUCACACCAUGGGAGUUGGUUCUACCUUAAGGCAAGGUUUAAUACCUUUGACCACGGUAUAGUCAGCUACUGGGGUGAAGUCGUAACAAGGUAGCCGUAGGGGAACCUGCGGCUGGAUUACCUCCUUUCU
RNAcentral lists this ribosomal RNA (1445 nucleotides) under uncultured marine bacterium. RNAcentral describes it as "16S ribosomal RNA". It matches the Rfam family "Bacterial small subunit ribosomal RNA". The record is from RNAcentral.